GUUUUGGGGAAGACUGAGGCAAUCGCUGCUGAAGUCAGUGUUGUAAUGGUGAAUCGGGAUUUUUAAAUGAAGUGGGUUUGAAUACUCUUGACUGUUUUGUAAAAUCGAGUUACGUUUGUGAUUGAAGGAUUAAAAGGGUGUCUAUAGGAUUGAGUAUGCGGAGUGAAUGAAAUUUAUUGGGUUAAUCUAACAAGACAGUCAGUGGAUACAAGAUCGUAAGUACAAAGGAGUAUUGAAGGUUAACAGUUUGGAUUGUACGGGGUUCUCUGUAACGUCUAGA
RNAcentral lists this long non-coding RNA (280 nucleotides) under Physcomitrium patens. RNAcentral describes it as "long non-coding RNA (PPAT_LNC010699)". The record is from RNAcentral. Lineage: Eukaryota; Viridiplantae; Streptophyta; Bryopsida; Funariales; Funariaceae.